Molecule: ribosomal RNA, 254 nt
Filed under: uncultured bacterium
Lineage: Bacteria
Description: partial 16S ribosomal RNA
Rfam family: Bacterial small subunit ribosomal RNA
Source: RNAcentral
UACAUGUGGGGCAAGCGUUGUUCGGAAUUACUGGGCGUAAAGCGUGCGCAGGCGGUUCUAUAAGACAGAUGUGAAAUCCCCGGGCUCAACCUGGGAACUGCAUUUGUGACUGUAGAGCUGGAGUGCGGCAGAGGGGGGGUAGAAUUCCACGUGUAGCAGUGAAAUGCGUAGAGAUGUGGAGGAACACCGAUGGCGAAGGCAGCCCCCUGGGUCAAGAUUGACGCUCAUGCACGAAAGCGUGGGGAGCAAACAGG